This 17-nucleotide small RNA is filed under the name Arabidopsis thaliana (thale cress). RNAcentral describes it as "ATSL210700". Lineage: Eukaryota; Viridiplantae; Streptophyta; Magnoliopsida; Brassicales; Brassicaceae. The record is from RNAcentral.
UGUUUACAUAAAGAAAA